UACGGGGGGGGCAAGCGUUGUUCGGAAUUACUGGGCGUAAAGGGCUCGUAGGCGGCCCACUAAGUCGGAUGUGAAAUCCCCAGGCUUAACCUGGGAACUGCAUCCGAUACUGGAUGGCUUGAAUCCGGGAGAGGGAUGCGGAAUUCCAGGUGUAGCGGUGAAAUGCGUAGAUAUCUGGAGGAACACCGGUGGCGAAGGCAGCAAACUGGUCAUCAACUGACGCUGAGGCGCGAAAGCGUGGGUAGCAAACAGG
This 253-nucleotide ribosomal RNA is filed under the name uncultured bacterium. RNAcentral's name for it is "partial 16S ribosomal RNA". It matches the Rfam family "Bacterial small subunit ribosomal RNA", at positions 524 to 776 of the family's 1533-position model. The record is from RNAcentral.